UUGACAACAUGACGCAUGAUGACAGUCACAACAUCACGUUCAGCUCCUGCAGAUUAUUUGCUUUUAAAUGCAACUAAACAGCACAUAUUUCAGCUCAGCUGCAAACGAAAUCAACACACUGUGGGAUAAAAUGCUGUCAAGCGCCUCACCUAAUAAGUGUUGUCCUGUGGAUUGUGAACUGGUCCAGCUGAAGCAGAGCUCUGUGACGUGUGGACAGACGUUGACUGUGAUGAUGCUGAUCUGCUGAUGGACAGUUUGUCCAAAAGCAUAACCCCUGCUGGUCGUGGUCCCAGAAGCUCCAGGGGGAGACCGUACUAGUUUCCCCCUUCUUUGGGCGCGCCUUCACACACACUCCAGCAUUCACACGUAACGCGGAGAUCCGGCUGGAGUGGAACCAGCAACCUCUGAACCCGUGAGGCAGUGCUCUUAACCUGCGGCACAAGCGGGUUUGAGUCCUUCAGUCCGACACCUUCAGCUGCUUGACAACAUGACGCUUGAUGACAGUCACAACAACACGUGCAGAUCCUGCAGAUGACAGCUGUUUCUGUCACUUCAACAACACAUAUUUCAGCUCAACUGCACAGUGAAAUCGACAGAGAAACGCUGGAAUCGAGUGUGACGCGACUCACCUAAUAAGUGAUGUCCUGUGGAUUGUGAACUGGUCCAGCUGAAGCAGAGCUCUGUGACGUGUGGACAGACGUUGACUGUGAUGAUGCUGAUCUGCUGAUGGACAGUUUGUCCAAAAGCAUAACCCCUGCUGGUCGUGGUCCCAGAAGCUCCAGGGGGAGACCGUACUAGUUUCCCCCUUCUUUGGGCGCGCCUUCACACACACUCCAGCAUUCACACGUAACGCGGAGAUCCGGCUGGAGUGGAACCAGCAACCUCUGAACCCGUGAGGCAGUGCUCUUAACCUGUGAGCCACAGAUCUCGUGCUGAGACAUGUGAAGGAACUUGUAUUUGUCUGUUUACCUGUAUGUGAGCUGUGUUUUUCCAAUAAAGCAGUUAAAUUGGGUUGGGGUUUGAUCCAGUGUCUCCAUCACAGCCUCAUCCUCAGAGAACAUGUGUUUAUCCACUGGACCAUCGUGGAUUUGACAUUGGUUGUUGGCGUUUGAGUGGUUUUGUUGGAUGAGAUGAGUUUAAAGUAAGCAAUAGUGAGAUUUGAACCUGGGUCUUCUAGAUUAAAAUACAAAGUUUUAUCUCUUGCGCCACUGAAUCUGUGGAGUUGAUGAGCGUUUUGAACAGGAUUUUAUUGAAAGAUUUGUGUUAAAUGAUGGAUAACUGUAUCAAAUGCAGGAUUUGAACCUGGACGUCCAUGUUUGAGAUGGAAAUCUUUAACCACUGAGCCACAGAGGUUAUGAUGUUGGCUUGGAUUUGUUUUUAGGAUAAUUAAGAUUUGAAGUUGAUUUCAACAUUCAUUUAGGCUGCACAAGAGACAGAAUUCUCCAGUAUUUUUGGUCUACUACAUUAUAAUUUAUUACUAUCAUUUUAAUUUUUUGUAGUUAAAACCUCAAAACGUUGUGCUUAGUUUAAAACAAAAUGUUUAUGGUUGUCACUGUCAUUGUGGAAAAAUACCUAAUUACACUUGUGCCACAGGAGGGCGUAAUAUUAAUUUAAGACUCCAUUUGCGACGCUGUAAUUCACAAAAAUCACCACAGGAUGGCACAAAAAAAUUUUUAUGUUUAUUAGACUUGAUUUGCAGCUUUGUAAUCCUAAAAAAAUUCCACAGGAGGGCGAAACAUUUUUUAGAGUCAGUUUGAAAAAGUGUAGUUUUAAAAACUCACCACAGGAGGGCGAAACAUAUGUAGUUUAUUUGAUUAAAUUUAAAGCGGUGUAAUUCACAAAAAUCACCACAGGAGGGCGAAACACUUAGUUUAUUAGA
Long non-coding RNA from Labeo rohita (rohu), 1879 nucleotides. RefSeq lists it as uncharacterized. The transcript is spliced from 6 exons. The record is from RefSeq and is a predicted model, not a curated record. Lineage: Eukaryota; Metazoa; Chordata; Actinopteri; Cypriniformes; Cyprinidae.